RNAcentral lists this ribosomal RNA (208 nucleotides) under uncultured bacterium. RNAcentral describes it as "partial 16S ribosomal RNA". It matches the Rfam family "Bacterial small subunit ribosomal RNA", at positions 568 to 776 of the family's 1533-position model. The record is from RNAcentral.
CACGUAGGCGGAUUUGUAAGUCAGGGUGAAAUCCCGGGGCUCAACCUCGGAACUGCCUUUGAUACUGCAAAUCUCGAGUCCGGAAGAGGUGAGUGGAAUUCCUAGUGUAGAGGUGAAAUUCGUAGAUAUUAGGAAGAACACCAGUGGCGAAGGCGGCUCACUGGUCCGGUACUGACGCUGAGGUGCGAAAGCGUGGGGAGGCAAAACA